Molecule: ribosomal RNA, 740 nt
Filed under: uncultured archaeon
Lineage: Archaea
Description: bacterial SSU rRNA
Rfam family: Archaeal small subunit ribosomal RNA
Source: RNAcentral
UUCCGGUUGAUCCUGCCGGACCCGACUGCUAUCAGAGUGGGACUAAGCCAUGCGAGUCGACGUAGCAAUGCGUGGCGAACGGCUCAGUAACACGUAGUCAACAUGCCCAGGGGACGUGGAUAACCUCGGGAAACUGAGAAUAAACCACGAUAGGUCACGAUUUCUGGAAUGGAUCAUGGCCCAAAUCUACAUGGCCCCUGGAUUGGACUGCGGCCGAUCAGGCAGUCGGUGAGGUAAUGGCCCACCAAACCUAUAACCGGUACGGGCUCUGAGAGGAGAAGCCCGGAGAUGGGCACUGAGACAAGGGCCCAGGCCCUAUGGGGCGCAGCAGGCGCGAAACCUCUGCAAUAGGCGAAAGCCUGACAGGGUUACUCUGAGUGAUUUCCGCUAAGGGGAUCUUUUGGCACCUCUAAAAAUGGUGCAGAAUAAGGGGUGGGCAAGUCUGGUGUCAGCCGCCGCGGUAAUACCAGCACCCCGAGUGGUCGGGACGAUUAUUGGGCCUAAAGCAUCCGUAGCCGGUUCUGCAAGUCUUCCGUUAAAUCCAGCCGCUCAACGGAUGGGCCGCGGAGGAUACUACAGGACUAGGAGGCGGGAGAGGCAAGCGGUACUCAGUGGGUAGGGGUAAAAUCCUUUGAUCCAUUGAAGACCACCAGUGGCGAAGGCGGCUUGCCAGAACGCGCUCGACGGUGAGGGAUGAAAGCUGGGGGGGCAAACCGGAUUAGAUACCCGGGUAGUCCCAG